Long non-coding RNA from Melanaphis sacchari, 638 nucleotides. RefSeq lists it as uncharacterized. Lineage: Eukaryota; Metazoa; Arthropoda; Insecta; Hemiptera; Aphididae. The transcript is spliced from 4 exons. The record is from RefSeq and is a predicted model, not a curated record.
GUUAGUUAUACCCUAAACAUGAAUGUCAGCUUUACCAAAAAUCUUUUGAAUAAUGAACUCGCAAGCAAAAUAAGAAGUUUUUUUUCGUCAAAAUACCUAUUAGGUAGAUGUCUCGCCAUGUUUGUCUCCGUCUUACAAACGUACAACAAAGCCACCUGUUUGCAUAAACCAAUAGCCCUCUCACAGUCACACAUGAUAUAAAUGCAGUAUAUUCGACCUUAGAUCCUUUGCGAGUGAAGAAUGGAAGGUGUUGUAUAAAACGAAGAGGUAUAUGAAGGAAGACAGCAAAAAUCGUAUGUGUAUAUUAUAUAUUUAUAUAAAUACACUCAUAUGAACACCACAAGGAAACGAUUAAGUACCUACCGUGUGAGACCAACAACUGACAAGGAUAAUCGUUGUUUUGUGUUAGCACUCGGCAGUUUCGAUCCAUAGCGAGAUUUAACAAUUAAGUGCAAUAUUUAUUGAUGGAGUAACACAUUUUCGCUGCAUAGAAUCAUUACUUGGCUCAUUUUCAUCAAGCGUAUCACGAAUAUAUUAAUCGUUAAUCCAUUGAUGACAAUUUUACACAAUAUUAUGAUAUAUUUUCGUGUUUUAUCUUAUGAGUGACACUUAUACAAUUUAUAUUUGCAUAAAUCAAU